GACAAGAUUUACCUACACCCACGGGAAGGAACAAAUAGAGAUCAGCAAUUUUGGUUGCAAGUCACGUCUUCAGGAUUGCAGGUGUAAGAGCUGGACAACUGGAAAAAUCUGACAGCCGUUGCCAAUGUUACAUAGCAAGAAAACUGUUGAUAUGAUAUUUUGGCCUAGAAAUGCAGAGCAGAAAAUAAAAAUAUGUAUUUGUU
This is a long non-coding RNA of Pseudopipra pipra, 203 nucleotides long. RefSeq lists it as uncharacterized. The record is from RefSeq and is a predicted model, not a curated record. Lineage: Eukaryota; Metazoa; Chordata; Aves; Passeriformes; Pipridae. The transcript has 2 exons.